Molecule: long non-coding RNA, 5377 nt
Filed under: Sus scrofa (pig)
Lineage: Eukaryota; Metazoa; Chordata; Mammalia; Artiodactyla; Suidae
Description: lncRNA (ENSSSCG00050047473.1)
Source: RNAcentral
UUCUUUUUCUCCUAUUAUCUUCCAUCAUGGUCUUUCCCAAGAGACUGGUUAUAUAUAGUUCCCUGCUCUGUACAGCAGGACCUCUUGCUUAUCCAUUCUGCAUGGAAUAGUUUGCAUCUCCCAACCCCAAACUGCCUGUCAUCCAUCCCACUUUUCUGGCUCUCUGGUUCCCUGGUGAAAAUGAAACCUUGGAUUUUGGUCCAUUUCACUUUUUUUUUUUUUUUCCUGUUUGAAAGGCACUUUAAGUAGUCCCUUGAUGUUGCUUUUAAUUCCUUUUACAUUUUAAAAAGAGUUCUACUCUCAUCUCUUUACUUGUAUUGCCUGUGAAAAUGGCCUGAAUAAUGAGGCCAACAGAGAAUCCCAUCUUGAGGGCUAAUUAUUGAUGUAUUCCUCCUGUCAGCCAGCAUGUAACCUCCAGGAAUGGAAGGUUAGGCAAAGUAUCCUGGCCCCAGAAGGAACCCUGCUCAUGACACUAAGCUUCAGUCCCCCAAGGUCACGGGAAGGUGAUUUUCUAUGCUGUGUCAUGGGCCAGAAAGAGAUACCAGAUCAGCCUGCUCCUGCACAACACGUUCUUAUGAGAAAGAUUUGGCUGAAAUAGGCAUUUGAAAAUGUUUAGAAAGCUUUAUUAAAUGUAUAUUUUAAUUAAAAAUUUUUUUUCAUUAAUAAAUCCAUAAAUAACAAGUGCUGGAGGGAGUGUGGAGAAAAGGGAACCCUCUUGCACUGCUGGUGGGAAUGUAAACUGGUACAGCAACUAUGGAGAACAGUUUGGAGAUACCUUAGAAAUCUAUCCAUAGAACUUCCAUAUGACCCCGCAAUCCCACUCUUGGGCAUCUAUCUGGACAAAACUCUACUUAAAAGAGAUGCAUGCACCCAUAUGUUCACUGCAGCAUUAUUCACAAUAGCCAGGAUAUGGAAACAACCCACAUGUCCAUCAACAGAUGAUUGGAUUCGGAAGAUGUGGUGUAUAUACACAAUGGAAUACUACUCAGCUGUAAAAAAGAAUGACAUAAUGCCGUUUGCAGCAACAUGGAUGGAACUAGAGACUCUCUUACUGAGAGAAUGAGUCAGAAAGACAAAGACAAAUACCAUAGGAAUCUAAUAUGCAGCACAAAUGAACCUUUCCACGGAAAAGACAGUCAUGGACUUGGAGAAUAGACUUGUGGCCGCCUGGGGGGAGAGGGAGGGAGUGGGAGGAAUCGGGAGCUUGGGGUUGUCGGAUACAACUUGGAAUAGAUUUACAAGGAGAUCCUGCUGAGAACUAUGUCUUGAUACUUAUAUUGCAACAGAGCAAAGGGCGGGGGGGGAAAUGUAUACAUGUAAGAGGAACUUGGUCCCCAUGCUGUACAGCGGAAAAAUAUUAAAUAAUAAAACAAAAAAAAUUUUUUCAUGUAACUGUCUUUUUAAAAACUUUUUAUUCGAGUAUAGUUGAUUUACAGUGUUGCAUCGAUUUCUGCUAUACAGCCGUGGUGACCCAGUCACAUAUAUAUAUAUAGAUACAUAUAUAUAUAUAUAUAUAUAUAUAUGACUUUCUCGUGAAAGAGUUGCUUUUUAUAUGGCUAGAUGUAAAAACGUUUGGGGUGCCCUACUUGUGUCAAGGGGUUCAUGUAGGAUAGUGCUUUGUGUGGCGUUGGCCUUAACAUUCUUUGUCCAAUGAACAAAUUGGUCCGGUCUCCACUCUGGUCUGUUUCAGUUGAGAGAAGGUGAAACAGGAGACCUUCCACCAUCACACCCUUAACUUAAGCCGCGCCGAUGGGACUCUCCGGCCUUCUCUUUUCGGCGUUCCUCACUGUGGGCCUGAGAUCAGUAGGCCUGGCCAUCGCGCCCACACCUCAUGUGUAGUUAAACUCCAGCCUCUACAUUGCCGCCGUCCCGACAGCCAGGAAGAGAAGUUCUGGUAUUGCCGCUCCUCGUCCUGAGGCGGCGGCCGCAGCGGAUGUGAUGCCGCAGCGUGAUGUGGAACCGCCCCACCUGUUCUUCUCACGGAGAACAAGGUACGGGCUUGUGCCGGCAGACGCUUUUAUAUCGAAGCCGAAGCCUCUCCCCAUGCACUGCAGCUUUUCCCUGUCGACUUGUGGCCCGAGUGAAGAACUGACUAGCUCCGCUGUGCCAGUGCAGUUCCUAACGGAGCCAGUGAGGAUGGCACUGGCUCUUCACAGCAGGGCUGGGCUGCAAGGUUUACGAACAAAGAUGAAAAUUCUCCCUGUUAGGAUUUCGAAGGGGUUCAUGAGGAACCUAGAGGUCAUUAGCCUUUGUGUGUGAAAAUAAAAUAGAAUGAUCUAGAAAAAAUGUAGCCUUUAAAUGGGGAAAAUAGGGUGAGCUUUGGGAAGUGGGGACUAAGAGAGAGGCACGAUCCUUAAACAUCUGGUUUCUAGUAGGAUGUCCGCAUGUGUGCUGUGUGCCUGUGCACUGCAAGAGGCUGGAGCCAGGGGCUCUCGCCUCUUCUGGCUCCUUCAAAACCUGCUUCACCUGCAAGUUCCAUUGUGGCACAGCAGGUUAAGGAUCAGGAUCCGGCGUUGUCAUUGCAGCUGCUCGGGUCGCUGCUGUGGCACAGGUUUAGCCCAUGGCCCCAGGAACUUCCGCAUGCCUUGGAUGUGGCCCCCCAAGAAAACCUCUGCUUAAACCAAGGAUCACAUGGGAUAGACAGGCAUUUCCAUGUUUCUCUCCCUGUCUAGACUCAGAGCCCCUUGAUGGCAGGGAGAAUGCUUUAAUUCACAUCUACCUCCUAACCUCUGGACCAGAGGCUGGUACUUACAAGUGUGAUCAAAGGAAUGACUGGUCCCAAGGAUGCCCACAUUGUCAUUUCCAGGACCUGUGACCGUGGUAGCUUACAGAGCAAAAUGGACUUUGCAGGUGUGAUUAAGGCUCUUGAGAUGGGGAAAGCACCCUGGAUUAUAUGGAUGGGCCUGAUGGAAUCACAAGGAUCCCUACAAGGAAAAGAGGGGACAGGAGGGUCGGGCUCUGGAGAUGCAAGAUGAGAAAUGCUCAGCCCACCAUGGCUGGCCUUGAAGAUGGACAAAAAGCCUACAAGCCAAGGAAGGCAGGCCGCUUCUUAAAGCUGGAAAAGGCAGGGGGCUGACUUUCCCUUGGAGCCUCUGGCUGGAGCACAGCCCUGCUCACACCGUGUUUUAGUCCAGUGGCAUUCUUUAGGAUUCUGAUUUCUAAAUCCAUAAAAUGCUAAACUUGUGUUGUUUUAAGCCAUGAGGUUGUGGCGAUUUGCUCCAGUAGCAACAGGAAAUAAAUGCAGUAAGCAGUCCGCAUGGAAUGGAUGUCCUUGCUACGCAGAACCUGUGCCGAGAUCACAGCAGUGCCAGGAACACUGCUGCAGCUCCUGCUCCAACACUGGGAAGUAGAAACACUUCUAGAAACUCAGCCUAGAGACCCCCUUUUAGUUUGGUUGCCAAGCGGGAUGUGGGCUUGCGCAGCUGAAAUUGUGUUCAUCCGCUGAUGGUCAUUAGGUUUGUAACAAAAACAAAAAGGCUUUACCUUAGGUUUAUUGCGUAGGUGAUGGGGUUCAAAAGCGAACAUCCGUUUGCGUGUGUAAUAGGUGUGAAUCUUAAGUCGCAGACACAUCGUGUGUUAGACUUGCUUUUUUAUUUGCGUAUAGCUCGGCUUAAUUUGUAAUAGACACUGGAUGACUUCGCUGGAUGGUGGAAUCUUCCUGUAUGUGGUUCACGCUGACCACAGUCAAGUCAGGAACUGCUCAGUCAGUCGGGGGUCUCCUCCAGCCACCAUCUGGGGGGCUUCCACUUGUUCAGAGUCUGACCUGAAACUGAUGCAUUAGUGCAGGGAGGCUGGAGGGGAUGUGGCCCUCACUCCAUCACUGAUGGCAGUCCUGGUCAAUGUCAGCAGCCACCGAAGCUCCCACGCUCCCAUCAGUCUAAGCAGAGUGCCUGUGGCCCCCUGUGGUCUUAACCGUUCAUUUAAAGCCUCCCAGAGGGGGUUCUCUCACAGCCUCUGUGGCCCUCUUGGGGUACCCUGAAAAUGCUCGGUUGCUGACCACACCCCCUGGAGGUAGGCACUCUGAGCCUGUCCCGACUGGACACACCAAAGCUGCGUCUUUUCUCUACUGCUCCCAGGCCACGCUGUCAGUGGGGACCCACAGAGCAAAGGCAGGCUGUGUUAAGGGCCCUCGAAAUCACUUCCAAGUGUGGCGAUUCACUAGAAGGACCCCUCGAGCUCUGAAAAGGGAUUUUUCUUGUGACUGUAGUUUUUGUUUUACAGCGAGGGGCUACAGACUGAAAUAGCAGAGGACAAGACACACAACAGAACAGGAAGAAUGGUACUUAGGAAAAGGGGAAGUGUUGCAGGAGGUGGUGGCCAGGUCAGGUGGUGAGGACAGCUCUCUCCUCUGUGCUCGUCCCUUUUUGAGGAGACCAGGCACCGUCUUCCAGCUGUCCUCCGUCAGCGGAGUCCUAGAAACAGGGUCUAAUCCUACCAGCAGUGAUGUGCAUGACUACAAGGACACAUCCCUGCCAACCCAGUGCUGCGGGGUUCCGGGGUAUUCUGAGGGUCCAUCCUGUGAGGUGGGAGUGCUCACAGCCCGACCUGAACCACACAGUCUCUGUCCCUACCCUGGGCUCAGCGUUCAAGCCGGUCCAGCGAGGCCCCGGGGCCAGAGCAUUCUCCAUACAUUGCAUCGUUCUCAAAAGCAUCCCCAGGGACACAAGGUGCUUCGUCAGUCGGGAUAUUGCAAGAGCUUAGAGGUUAUCUCCCAGGACCCAGGCCAAGGCCAGUCUUUAUUUUGAGAUGUGCAGAUCCUGUGGUGUAACUCUUUACGGGGCUCUCAGCCAACCCUAAACCCGUGUGUGGUCGUUACUGUCCUCUCUUCACUCGCCACACGGGGCUCCUCUUCCCGGGAUUCUCCAUAGAGGCCCCUGCUCCCAGUCCAUAGGCUUGUCACUCAGUUUGGGGGCAGAGAAGACUGGUUAUGACUUGUCAUACAGCCUUCAGCAUCUGAGGCUCAGGCUCAUGGCAUCGACUUAAUGUCCAGAAGGGUGCAGGACUUUAGUUUUUGAAGCUUAAAGCCUGAUACUAAUGACUAAAAGUAAUUUGACCCUAUCAUUCCUCCAUCAUUUGCUGUAAGUGUCCCCCAGAGGAAAGAAUGCCACCAGCUAAAAGGGGAAAUGUGAGUCCAGAGGACAGUGACCAGAUCAGGCCGGGAGGGGGCUCUGUCCCUGGUGCCUGUUCUUCCUAAGGAGGACCAUUUUCCUGCACAGCACCAGAAGAUUUCCUCCUUCUAUCUCAUUGGCCAGAAUUGGUCACAUGCCCAGCCCUAGGCCAACGACUAGCAGAGGGAAUUAGUUUUACUGUGUUUGACUUAAACCUAAUUCAUCCCCUAAAACUGAGUAUAUUUCAUUCAGAACAAAAUCAAGAAACC